Molecule: long non-coding RNA, 535 nt
Organism: Cervus elaphus (red deer)
Lineage: Eukaryota; Metazoa; Chordata; Mammalia; Artiodactyla; Cervidae
Exons: 4
Source: RefSeq, a predicted model, not a curated record
CUUCCGUCCGGAAGCGGAAGCAGAGAAGGCCCCCGCCCUGCAGCGCCCAGGAGGGAAGCCGGUUUUUCAGGUUUCGCUAGGAGAAAUAACUCGGUGGCUGGACCUGAAAUUACUCACGUCCCGUUCCCGACAGGGCUGCCGCUGUUGCUGAGAAGUCCUGGGACCUCUAACAUAUGCCAGCAGAAGGUCUGCCAGUCUCCCAGGUUUCUGCCUGUGGUAUCCAGUCAAAUGAGAAUGGGGACUUAACGCAUUCUCCAGAAACUCCAUGAAGCCUGCUUGACCAUGUACACGCCUCACUUAGUGAAGAUGUUCCUGAGGCCUCGGGCCGCAGCAGCCUCCUUGGGUUUGCGAGGCCCGUGUGUAUGCCACUUUGAAUUAAAAAUGUGCAUGGCAAAAUGAGGAAACAGCUGACAAGUGAUGAGUCUGCACAAUGGAAAAACCACCCUGAUCAUCAGCAUCACAGGUGGGUAAGUGUUCCUUUAAAGUGAUUUUGUCAAAGUCAUAUGAAAUGGUUUUCAUGGUGGGGGAGAGGAAA